ACAACAUUUGGAUCGUCGGUCUACCAAACAAUAUCACCCGCUCGGUGAAAGAUUUACUUUCGUAGU
Molecule: microRNA precursor, 66 nt
Filed under: Bombyx mori (domestic silkworm)
Lineage: Eukaryota; Metazoa; Arthropoda; Insecta; Lepidoptera; Bombycidae
Description: mir-2774 microRNA precursor family
Rfam family: mir-2774 microRNA precursor family
Source: Rfam by way of RNAcentral